RNAcentral lists this ribosomal RNA (497 nucleotides) under uncultured bacterium. Its description in RNAcentral is "partial 16S ribosomal RNA". It matches the Rfam family "Bacterial small subunit ribosomal RNA", at positions 28 to 507 of the family's 1533-position model. The record is from RNAcentral.
GAUGAACGCUGGCGGCGUGCCUAAUACAUGCAAGUCGAGCGAACAGACGAGGAGCUUGCUCCUCUGACGUUAGCGGCGGACGGGUGAGUAACACGUGGAUAACCUACCUAUAAGACUGGGAUAACUUCGGGAAACCGGAGCUAAUACCGGAUAACAUGUUGACCCGCAUGGUUCAACAGUGAAAGACGGUCUUGCUGUCACUUAUAGAUGGAUCCGCGCCGCAUUAGCUAGUUGGUAAGGUAACGGCUUACCAAGGCAACGAUGCGUAGCCGACCUGAGAGGGUGAUCGGCCACACUGGAACUGAGACACGGUCCAGACUCCUACGGGAGGCAGCAGUAGGGAAUCUUCCGCAAUGGGCGAAAGCCUGACGGAGCAACGCCGCGUGAGUGAAGAAGGUCUUCGGAUCGUAAAACUCUGUUAUUAGGGAAGAACAAAUGUGUAAGUAACUAUGCACGUCUUGACGGUACCUAAUCAGAAAGCCACGGCUAACUACGUG